GAUGAACGCUGGCGGCGUGCUUAACACAUGCAAGUCGAACGGUGAAGCAGAGCUUGCUCUGUGGAUCAGUGGCGAACGGGUGAGUAACACGUGAGCAACCUGCCCCUGACUCUGGGAUAAGCGCUGGAAACGGCGUCUAAUACUGGAUAUGAGCUGCGACCGCAUGGUCAGCAGUUGGAAAGAUUUUUCGGUCUGGGAUGGGCUCACGGCCUAUCAGCUUGUUGGUGAGGUAAUGGCUCACCAAGGCGUCGACGGGUAGCCGGCCUGAGAGGGUGACCGGCCACACUGGGACUGAGACACGGCCCAGACUCCUACGGGAGGCAGCAGUGGGGAAUAUUGCACAAUGGGCGAAAGCCUGAUGCAGCAACGCCGCGUGAGGGAUGACGGCCUUCGGGUUGUAAACCUCUUUUAGCAGGGAAGAAGCGAAAGCGACGGUACCUGCAGAAAAGGCGCCGGCUAACUACGUG
Molecule: ribosomal RNA, 467 nt
Filed under: uncultured bacterium
Lineage: Bacteria
Description: partial 16S ribosomal RNA
Rfam family: Bacterial small subunit ribosomal RNA
Source: RNAcentral